AAGUCGUAACAAGGUUUCCGUAGGUGAACCUGCGGAAGGAUCAUUAACUAAUUAUCUUGAUGUCUUUGGGAUGUAACCUUUUAUGGUUACAAACCUUGAUUUCAAUUAUCCAUUGAUUCUGUGAACUAACGUUUUGCCUUGGUAGAGAAAUUUACCAAAGGAUCUUUUUUAAACCAAUUUUUAUUGUCUGUAAAGUAUUAUUAAUAAAUAAAA
Molecule: unclassified non-coding RNA, 213 nt
Filed under: plant metagenome
Description: partial contains small subunit ribosomal RNA and internal transcribed spacer 1
Rfam family: Eukaryotic small subunit ribosomal RNA (bases 1-46)
Source: RNAcentral